UGGAAACAAAGCCUGUGUAUGCUUUUGUUAUUACAAAAUUAUAUGUUUCUAAGCCCUUUCUCAAAAAAAUAAAAAAUUAUACGUUUCUAAUACUCUCACCUAUAGCAUGACCACUAAAAACUUCUUAUCUCUUCCAGCUCUGAAAGACAUACACAGAAGCAAAAACGAAAGAGCGGGGUUUCCCUUAAUAGAUGGUGGGGAUGAGGCCUGAUGUGACGCAUCUUAGUCAGAAAGGCAAUCGUACAAGUUGAUGUUGUAAGAAAGCAGAGGUUAUCGUGACAAGUGGUGCCACGUGGGCCGACAUUAGGAACCAAUCAGAGUGAAACUGCACGUGAGAUCUCUCCACGUCCCG
Molecule: long non-coding RNA, 352 nt
Filed under: Brassica napus (rape)
Lineage: Eukaryota; Viridiplantae; Streptophyta; Magnoliopsida; Brassicales; Brassicaceae
Description: long non-coding RNA (BNAP_LNC012778)
Source: RNAcentral